This 459-nucleotide ribosomal RNA is filed under the name uncultured Bacilli bacterium. RNAcentral describes it as "bacterial SSU rRNA". It matches the Rfam family "Bacterial small subunit ribosomal RNA", at positions 338 to 793 of the family's 1533-position model. The record is from RNAcentral. Lineage: Bacteria; Bacillati; Bacillota; Bacilli.
CCUACGGGAGGCAGCAGUAGGGAAUCUUCGGCAAUGGACGAAAGUCUGACCGAGCAACGCCGCGUGAGUGAUGAAGGUUUUCGGAUCGUAAAACUCUGUUGCCAGGGAAGAAAGGCCAGGAGAGUAACUGCUCUUGGUUUGACGGUACCUGAGAAGAAAGCCCCGGCUAACUACGUGCCAGCAGCCGCGGUAAUACGUAGGGGGCAAGCGUUGUCCGGAAUUAUUGGGCGUAAAGCGCGCGCGGCGGUUGUUUAUGUCUGGUGUAUACACCAAGGGCUCAACCUUUGGACGGCAUUGGAAACUGGGCAACUGGAGUGUAGGAGAGGAAAGUGGAUUCCACGUGUAGCGGUGAAAUGCGUAGAGAUGUGGAGGAACACCAGUGGCGAAGCGACUUUCUGGCCUAUAACUGACGCUGAGGCGCGAAGCGUGGGGAGCAAACAGGAUUAGAUACCCUGGUAG